RNAcentral lists this ribosomal RNA (494 nucleotides) under uncultured bacterium. Its description in RNAcentral is "partial 16S ribosomal RNA". It matches the Rfam family "Bacterial small subunit ribosomal RNA", at positions 28 to 504 of the family's 1533-position model. The record is from RNAcentral.
GAUGAACGCUGGCGGCGUGCCUAAUACAUGCAAGUCGAGCGAACAGACGAGGAGCUUGCUCCUCUGACGUUAGCGGCGGACGGGUGAGUAACACGUGGAUAACCUACCUAUAAGACUGGGAUAACUUCGGGAAACCGGAGCUAAUACCGGAUAAUAUAUUGAACCGCAUGGUUCAAUAGUGAAAGACGGUUUUGCUGUCACUUAUAGAUGGAUCCGCGCCGCAUUAGCUAGUUGGUAAGGUAACGGCUUACCAAGGCGACGAUGCGUAGCCGACCUGAGAGGGUGAUCGGCCACACUGGAACUGAGACACGGUCCAGACUCCUACGGGAGGCAGCAGUAGGGAAUCUUCCGCAAUGGGCGAAAGCCUGACGGAGCAACGCCGCGUGAGUGAUGAAGGUCUUCGGAUCGUAAAACUCUGUUAUUAGGGAAGAACAAAUGUGUAAGUAACUAUGCACGUCUUGACGGUACCUAAUCAGAGAGCCACGGCUAACUAC